CCUACGGGUGACAGCAGUCGAGAAUCAUUCACAAUGGGGGAAACCCUGAUGGUGCGACGCCGCGUGGGGGAAUGAAGGUCUUCGGAUUGUAAACCCCUGUCAUGUGGGAGCAAAUUAAAAAGAUAGUACCACAAGAGGAAGAGACGGCUAACUCUGUGCCAGCAGCCGCGGUAAUACAGCGGUCUCAAGCGUUGUUCGGAAUCACUGGGCGUAAAGCGUGCGUAGGCUGUUUCGUAAGUCGUGUGUGAAAGACGCGGGCUCAACCCGCGGACGGCACAUGAUACUGCGAGACUAGAGUAAUGGAGGGGGAACCGGAAUGCUCGGUGUAGCAGUGAAAUGCGUAGAUAUCGAGAGGAACACUCGUGGCGAAGGCGGGUUGCUGGACAUUAACUGACGCUGAGGCACGAAGGCCAGGGGAGCGAAAGGGAUUAGAUACCCCAGUAGUC
This 446-nucleotide ribosomal RNA is filed under the name uncultured bacterium. Its description in RNAcentral is "partial 16S ribosomal RNA". It matches the Rfam family "Bacterial small subunit ribosomal RNA", at positions 338 to 795 of the family's 1533-position model. The record is from RNAcentral.